RNAcentral lists this microRNA precursor (147 nucleotides) under Trifolium pratense (red clover). RNAcentral describes it as "pre miRNA mir-395". The record is from RNAcentral. Lineage: Eukaryota; Viridiplantae; Streptophyta; Magnoliopsida; Fabales; Fabaceae.
UUUUCCACAAGAGUUAUUGUGCACACCUUUUCACACCAAAUCAUCUUUUAUUUGUAUUUGCAUUUCUCUGUAAACACUUAGAUCUGGAAAUGCAAAUACAUUAAGAUGAUUUGGUGUGAAAAGGUGCACAAUAACUCUUGUGGAAAA